GUGAACGCUGGCGGCGUGCUUAAGACAUGCAAGUCGAACGAACAGCAGCUUGCUGCUGUUAGUGGCGCACGGGUGAGUAACGCGUAACUGACCUACCCCCAAGUCGUGGAUAACGGGCCGAAAGGUGCGCUAAUACAUGAUGUGCUGUCCGGUCUUGUCCGGCCAGUAAAGGUUCAUCUGCUUGGGGAUGGGGUUGCGUUCCAUCAGCUAGUUGGCGGGGUAAUGGCCCACCAAGGCAACGACGGAUCGCCGGCCUGAGAGGGUGGCCGGCCACGGGGGCACUGAGACACGGGUCCCACUCCUACGGGAGGCAGCAGUUAGGAAUCUUCCACAAUGGGCGCAAGCCUGAUGGAGCGACGCCGCGUGAGGGAUGAAGGUUUUCGGAUCGUAAACCUCUGAAUGGGGGACGAAAGGCCCGUAAGGGAGAUGACGGUACCCCAGUAAUAGCACCGGCUAACUCCGU
This 463-nucleotide ribosomal RNA is filed under the name uncultured bacterium. Its description in RNAcentral is "bacterial SSU rRNA". It matches the Rfam family "Bacterial small subunit ribosomal RNA", at positions 29 to 506 of the family's 1533-position model. The record is from RNAcentral.